CCCGCCUGAACCCUGUCAUGCACCAUCUCAUACACCAAGACCCGUAGUUCAGCCACUGAUCUUCGGAGGAUGUAGUGAGAGCACUUGUUGUCAUGGCAAUCUGUGUCCUCCGCUUCGGGUCACUGGGCUCUCUUUGAACCAUGGAUCAUUUGGGGGGCUGCUUAUUUUUUAGCUCACCAGUCAGAUUUCUGUGCUUAAGGAAGGGAAACAGCCAGUGCUUUGGGAGCAGUGGAAACAUCAGCAGUGGGGCGACACUGGCGGGUGAGGUGACGCUGGCAGUGGACAACGCUGGGGCGUGGGGUGAUGCUGGCAGUGAGGUGGCACCAGGGUGCGGGGCGAUGCUGCCAGUGAGUAUGCCCCAGGGUGUGGGGUGAGCGGGGCCAUACCGGAAGUAGGGCAGCACUGGGAGUGGGGUGAUGCCAGUAUUGAGGUGGCUCUGGGUUGCGGGGCGACGCCGGCAGUGAGGUGGCUAUGGGGUACGGGCCGACUCCGGCAGUGAGGUGGCUAUGGGGUGCGGGGCGACGCCGGCAGUGAGGUGGCUAUGGGGUACGGGGCGACGCCGGCAGUGAGGUGGCUCCGGGGUGAGAGGCGACGCCGGCAGUGAGGUGGCUCCGGGGUGAGAGGCGACGCCG
This is a long non-coding RNA of Brienomyrus brachyistius, 632 nucleotides long. RefSeq lists it as uncharacterized. The record is from RefSeq and is a predicted model, not a curated record. The transcript has 3 exons. Lineage: Eukaryota; Metazoa; Chordata; Actinopteri; Osteoglossiformes; Mormyridae.